CAUGUGGUGCUGCUGCUCCUGCUGGUGUUGCUGGUGCUGGAAGGGAGUCGGCGGGGGCAGGAGCUGGGUGGGGAGCGCGGGGAGCUGGGCGGUGGGGAGCUGCUGCUGCUGCUGUGGUGGCGCGGCGGCGUUGGCGGCGGCGAGGACGUCGGAGAGGUCCCCGGUGACGUGUCUCCGCGGCGGGGGGAGGUUGUCCAUGUCGGGCGCCGGGCGCUUGCGGACCAUGGCGGCGGCGGCGUGCUGGUGGUGAUCUAGCAGGUGGUGGUGGAGGAAGGCGGUGGAGUCGGAGGCAUGGGAAGGAGGAUAAGAAGAAGAAGAAGAUGAAGAGGGGAAGAAGAGGGAGCCCAUGUCAUGUGUGUGUGGCUAGGAGAAACGCCAAGG
This 381-nucleotide long non-coding RNA is filed under the name Brachypodium distachyon (stiff brome). RNAcentral's name for it is "long non-coding RNA (BDIS_LNC005366)". The record is from RNAcentral. Lineage: Eukaryota; Viridiplantae; Streptophyta; Magnoliopsida; Poales; Poaceae.